UUGGGGACAGGAAACCCAGGGAGCUCUGGUUUUGUUCCCAGGUCCUAUCAGUUCAGCUUCACCCAGCUCCUGCCGGCUCCUCGGGAGGAGACAAGGCUUGAAAACCCUGCCACCCACCCUGUGCUUGACCAGCCAUGUGGGCAGGGGCUCCCUGCACCAAACAACAGCAUCCAGGGCAAGAAAGUGGAGCUGGCCGCCCGCCUCCAAAAGAUGCUUCAGGACCUUCACACGGAGCAGGAGCGGCUGCAGGGGGAGGCACAAGCGUGGGCCAGGCGCCAAGCGGCUCUGGAGGCUGCAGUGCGCCAGGCCUGUGCCCCUCAGGAGCUGGAGCGGUUCAGCCGGUUCAUGGCCGACCUAGAGCGCGUGCUUGGCCUUCUGCUGCUGCUGGGCAGUCGCCUGGCGCGCGUGCGCCGCGCCCUGGCC
This 423-nucleotide long non-coding RNA is filed under the name Homo sapiens (human). Its description in RNAcentral is "non-protein coding lnc-SEPT8-1:1". Lineage: Eukaryota; Metazoa; Chordata; Mammalia; Primates; Hominidae. The record is from RNAcentral.